GACGAACGCUGGCGGCGUGCUUAACACAUGCAAGUCGAGCGGUAAGGCCCUUUCGGGGGUACACGAGCGGCGAACGGGUGAGUAAUACGUGGGUGACCUGCCCUCAGCUCUGGGAUAAGCCCGGGAAACUGGGUCUAAUACUGGAUAUUACUCUGCGGUGCAUGCCGUGGGGUGGAAAGCCUUGUGCGGCUGGGGAUGGGCCCGCGGCCUAUCAGCUUGUUGGUGGGGUGAUGGCCACCAAGGCGACGACGGGUAGCCGGCCUGAGAGGGCGACCGGCCACACUGGGACUGAGACACGGCCCAGACUCCUACGGGAGGCAGCAGUGGGGAAUCUUGCGCAAUGGGCGAAAGCCUGACGCAGCGACGCCGCGUGAGGGAUGACGGCCU
RNAcentral lists this ribosomal RNA (387 nucleotides) under uncultured bacterium. RNAcentral's name for it is "bacterial SSU rRNA". It matches the Rfam family "Bacterial small subunit ribosomal RNA", at positions 28 to 417 of the family's 1533-position model. The record is from RNAcentral.